GUGUUCGUAGAAAGGAGAGAUGGUUGGAAUCUCCCCAAACAAGGAUAGGGAAGACUUCGGGCUUUACCUGACAACAAAAAUUGUCUACUUUUCAUUCUCGGUAUCCAACAUUGAAAUUGG
This 120-nucleotide non-coding RNA is filed under the name Nicotiana sylvestris (wood tobacco). The record is from RNAcentral. Lineage: Eukaryota; Viridiplantae; Streptophyta; Magnoliopsida; Solanales; Solanaceae. RNAcentral also lists the same sequence under 1 other name.